CCCUGGUUAGCUCAGUUGGUAGAGCGCUCCACUUUUGAUGGAGAGGUCCCGGGUUCGAUACCCGGACCAGGCG
RNAcentral lists this transfer RNA (73 nucleotides) under Ixodes scapularis (black-legged tick). Its description in RNAcentral is "tRNA-Lys". It matches the Rfam family "tRNA". From Rfam's summary of the family: Transfer RNA (tRNA) molecules are approximately 80 nucleotides in length. The record is from RNAcentral. Lineage: Eukaryota; Metazoa; Arthropoda; Arachnida; Ixodida; Ixodidae.